Non-coding RNA from Lonchura striata (white-rumped munia), 1192 nucleotides. NCBI's taxonomy places the organism in Eukaryota, Metazoa, Chordata, Aves, Passeriformes, Estrildidae. The record is from RefSeq and is a predicted model, not a curated record.
AUAGCCUCUGCAAUGAAAAAUCACGUCCGUGCUCCAAGACACCGGAUUUAUUAAACAUCCCCAACGCCUGCCUCGGACAGGGGCAAACUUCACAGUGUAAAGUGUGUUGGAAGAUAGAAAAUACCUGAGUAAGAUCCACUGUUCUGUCAAUGCAGUAAGAGAUCGCCUCUGUCUCACAAGCAUCUGCAUGAGGUGCUAACAAGGCUGUCUGGAGCCGAGAGUGACGUGCAAGUGACCGAUAGAAAUACUUCUGGCAUCCAUCCCAGGCAGAAGAAAUCUCUGACAGCAACCUGGCAGAGCACAGAGAAGUAUGGUAAUAAAAAGCACCUCAGCAUGCUGGAGCCACCAGGUCAGCUCUUCAACACAAUCAUUUUGCCUGAAAUUUGUUGUUUUGAAAAUGCAUUGAUCUUGCAAUUCUUCAUUUUCUCUAAAAAUAUUAUAGUUUUAAGAAUUAAAACCAUUUAAUUUAAAAAAUAAGUUCUAAGGAAACCCUAAGGCAAUAGCAGCAAUCUCUAUUUUUGAAUACCAUUCAAUGCUUUAGUAGUGAUACUGUUUUUCUUCAUCCCCAUGUAGCUAAAUCCAGUUUCAUACAGAAGCCUUUCUUUUCACCCUAAUACAUAAACUAAAUGCUUACAUCACAGAACAAUAAACCAGCAUGUCUCAAUGACAAAAAAACACUCAUGGACAGACAAACAAUUUUAAAAAAAUCUGAAAAAACAUCUUUCCCCUAGGAAAGCUUUUCCAGUAAUGCACAUUUUGAAGUUUAUGUAUUUUCUCCUGAAAUAUCCCAUUAUUUAAUGAAGAAAUCCCUGAAAAUCACAGCUCACCUUCAAUAAAAUCAUUAGCAGUUUACGCUCUACUAUACUGCUAGCAAAGCAUCCCAGGCAAAGCUGGACAGUGGAGGGCUAUCUGAAAUCUAAUUCAUGGAAAGAAUGAAACUGAGGGUACAGUUGGUAAAGGGCAAAAAUAGAAAAAAACCCAAAAUUUAAAAAAACCCAAAUCCUUGCUCAGUUGUACAUACCAAACCGAGAUGUAAUGGGAGGAAGGGAAUAUGCAAAAUCCUAAAUUAAAUACUGUCCAGAAAUACCAUAAACUCUAGGUAUUACAGCUGCAAUUCACACAAUCAGAGGGUAAGAAGUCCUGUGUACAUACGUGGCAUCCAGUUCAUGUGUACAGUCCACUGCUGCCAAUG